UACGGGGGGGGCAAGCGUUGUUCGGAAUUACUGGGCGUAAAGGGCCAGUAGGCGGCCAACUAAGUCCGACGUGAAAUCCCAAGGCUUAACCUUGGAACUGCGUCGGAUGCUGGAUGGCUUGAAUUCGGGAGAGGGAUGCAGAAUUCCAGGUGUAGCGGUGAAAUGCGCAGAUAUCAGGAGGAACACCGAUGGCGAAGGCAGGUCUCUGGGCAUUAACUGACGCUGGAGGAGCGAAAAGCAUGGGGGAGCGAACAGG
This 256-nucleotide ribosomal RNA is filed under the name uncultured bacterium. Its description in RNAcentral is "partial 16S ribosomal RNA". It matches the Rfam family "Bacterial small subunit ribosomal RNA", at positions 524 to 776 of the family's 1533-position model. The record is from RNAcentral.